This 465-nucleotide ribosomal RNA is filed under the name Vreelandella stevensii. RNAcentral's name for it is "partial 16S ribosomal RNA". It matches the Rfam family "Bacterial small subunit ribosomal RNA", at positions 338 to 795 of the family's 1533-position model. Lineage: Bacteria; Pseudomonadati; Pseudomonadota; Gammaproteobacteria; Oceanospirillales; Halomonadaceae. The record is from RNAcentral.
CCUACGGGUGGCAGCAGUGGGGAAUAUUGGACAAUGGGGGCAACCCUGAUCCAGCCAUGCCGCGUGUGUGAAGAAGGCCCUCGGGUUGUAAAGCACUUUCAGUGAGGAAGAACGCCUGGUGGUUAAUACCCAUCAGGAAAGACAUCACUCACAGAAGAAGCACCGGCUAACUCCGUGCCAGCAGCCGCGGUAAUACGGAGGGUGCGAGCGUUAAUCGGAAUUACUGGGCGUAAAGCGCGCGUAGGUGGCUUGAUAAGCCGGUUGUGAAAGCCCCGGGCUCAACCUGGGAACGGCAUCCGGAACUGUCAAGCUAGAGGGCAGGAGAGGAAGGUAGAAUUCCCGGUGUAGCGGUGAAAUGCGUAGAGAUCGGGAGGAAUACCAGUGGCGAAGGCGGCCUUCUGGACUGACACUGACACUGAGGUGCGAAAGCGUGGGUAGCAAACAGGAUUAGAUACCCCGGUAGUC